Molecule: ribosomal RNA, 440 nt
Filed under: uncultured bacterium
Lineage: Bacteria
Description: partial 16S ribosomal RNA
Rfam family: Bacterial small subunit ribosomal RNA
Source: RNAcentral
CCUACGGGACGCAGCAGUGGGGGAUAUUGCACAAUGGGGGAAACCCUGAUGCAGCGACGCCGCGUGGGUGAAGAAGCGCCUCGGCGCGUAAAGCCCUGUCAGCAGGGAAGAAAAUGACGGUACCUGAAGAAGAAGCCCCGGCUAACUACGUGCCAGCAGCCGCGGUAAUACGUAGGGGGCAAGCGUUAUCAGGAUUUACUGGGUGUAAAGGGGGCGCAGACGGCGAUGCAAGCCAGGAGUGAAAGCCCGGGGCCCAACCCCGGGACUGCUCUUGGAACUGCGUGGCUAGAGUGCAGGAGGGGCAGGCGGAAUUCCUGGUGUAGCGGUGAAAUGCGUAGAGAUCAGGAGGAACACCGGUGGCGAAGGCGGCCUGCUGGACUGCAACUGACGUUGAGGCCCGAAAGCGUGGGGAGCAAACAGGAUUAGAUACCCGAGUAGUC